AAGUCGUAACAAGGUUUCCGUAGGUGAACCUGCGGAAGGAUCAUUAAAGUAUCUUCCUCGGAAGGGAGGCCAGCCCAGCUCCGGUUCCAAAAGGGCCGUGCAGCGGGCGAACCGACCGACCGAAAACCCCACAAACCCCUGUGCACUAACCGACGGUGGAGGGAGACUGGGCGAGAGCUCGCAAUCCCGAAUCCGUCGCCAACAAACCCCUUUGUUAAAGAAUGAGAUAGCGUCCACUGCGGCGCCUAACUUUUAAAUAACAACUUUCAACAACGGAUCUCUUGGCUCUC
RNAcentral lists this unclassified non-coding RNA (290 nucleotides) under air metagenome. Its description in RNAcentral is "partial contains small subunit ribosomal RNA, internal transcribed spacer 1, and 5.8S ribosomal RNA". The stretch from base 1 to 46 matches the Rfam family "Eukaryotic small subunit ribosomal RNA", at positions 1786 to 1831 of the family's 1831-position model. The record is from RNAcentral.